Molecule: RNA transcript, 4309 nt
Organism: Scatophagus argus
Lineage: Eukaryota; Metazoa; Chordata; Actinopteri; Scatophagidae
Exons: 2
Source: RefSeq, a predicted model, not a curated record
AGCAACUUCGCGAGUUGGUACUCCUGGAAGAAUUUAAAAACUGUGUUCCUGAGGCAGUUGCAACCUAUUUGAGUGAGCAGCGUGUGUCCAAAGUUGGGGACGCCGCUGUACUUGCUGACGAAUAUGUUCUGGCUCACAAAGGGGUCUUUAAUGAUAAACAUCUUGAGGCUAAGAACCAUGCUUUUACUCGUCCUCUUCGCUUUAAGGCUAGCAGCAAUGGUCCUGGUUCUUCUGUUUUUGCUUCAAGGCCUGCUAGUUCUGGCUCUGGAAACUCUGAGAGGAUUUGUUUUUUUUGUAAAAAGCCUGGUCAUGUCAUAGCUGAUUGUCAUGCUCUCAGUAAAAAGCAGAAAGCUGCUAAGCCAGUGGCAUUGUUGGCUUCAGUGUCACGUCUGCCUGGUGGAGCUAAUUGUCUCAGUCACUUCGCUGAAGACAGGCCUGGGGUGGGAAAAGGUCUGAGUAAGUCCAGUGAGAACAGCACUGAGUCUGAUCUUUUUGCACCUUUCCGUAUGGAGGGGUUGGUGGCCAUCUCUGAGUCAGAUAAGUUUGUCCCCGUUCGUAUUCUAAGGGACACAGCAGCCGCUCAGUCUUUGUUGGUGGAGGGAGUUUUGCCCCUCUCUGAAGAAACUUCUACUGGUGAAAAUGCUUUGGUGCGGGGGUGUGGUCUGACUUGGAUUGAAGCCCCAUUGCAUGUUGUGUAUUUACAGUCUGGGUUGGUUACAGGCUCUGUGGCAGUGGCUAUUCGCCCUGAACUUCCUGUGGAAGGAGUGGACAUGAUUCUGGGGAAUGAUUUGGCUGGUGGGGAGGUGUUCCCUACACCCAUUGUUGUGAACAACCCAGUUGGCUCUAGGUCUGUUAACCAAGGUGAUCAGGCAUCUCAGAUGACAAAAGUCUUUCCUGCUUGUGUGGUAACUCGCGCUCAGUCACGUAAGGUUGAAGAUGUGGUAGAUCUUUCAGAAAUGUUUAUUGCUCCAUGCAAAGAAACUGUCGAGAAUGUGCCUGCUGGUCCCUCUGCUGCUUCUGAGUUUACGGUAGCUAAGCAGUCUAAUGAUUCCACUGUAUCUGAGACUAUUGAGGUUACAUUGUCCAGUCCUGUCACCUUGUCUGAUGAGUCUGAGGCUCAGUUAAAGGUUGGCAGGGAGCAGUUGGUAGAGGCUCAGAAGGCCGAUCCUUCCUUGGCUAAGUGUGUAGCAGCAGCAUUGCCUAAAGAUGAGAUGGGUGCCUCUCAAGUGGCUUACUACUGGGAGGAUGGUAUCCUCAUGCGCAAGUGGGCUCCUUCAGCUGAUGACAGUGAGUGUAAUGAUGUACAUCAGAUUGUUGUCCCUGCUGGUUACCGGGCACAGAUAUUGAGCUUAGCUCAUGAUAAUGUUUUGUCUGGUCAUCUAGGGAUAGCUAAAACUUACUAUCGCAUAUUAAAGCAUUUCUUCUGGCCUGGUUUGAAACGUGAUGUUUCCCAAUAUUGCCACUCAUGUCAUACAUGUCAGUUGGUUGGGAAACCAAACCAAGUGAUCCCACAGGCUCCACUUCAUCCUAUACCUGUGAUGGGGGAGCCCUUUGAGAGACUCCUCAUAGAUUGUGUUGGCCCGUUACCCAAGUCAAAAUCUGGUCACCAGUUUCUCUUGACCUUAAUGUGUGCUGCAACUCGAUACCCUGAGGCAAUCCCACUGCGUUCUCUUAAAGCUAAGGUGGUAGUAAAAGAACUGAUGAAAUUCUGUACCACUUUUGGGUUGCCAAAGGUAAUUCAAACAGACCAGGGUACUAACUUUAUGUCGAAAGUGUUUUCUCAGGUGUUGGAAGAGUUGGCUGUGAAACAUCAGGUCUCCAGUGCCUACCACCCAGAGAGCCAGGGGGCACUAGAGCGCUUCCACCAGACCCUGAAGACAAUGUUGCGUGCUUACUGUCUUGAAACUGGUAAGGAAUGGGAUGAAGGUAUACCAUUCCUGCUUUUUGCUGUUCGAGAGACAGUUCAGGAGUCACUGGGUUUCAGUCCUGCAGAAUUGGUAUUUGGCCACACAGUUCGUGGACCGUUGAAGUUGUUGCGUGAGCAGCUGAUGGGGGUUACUUCUCCUGUCCAAAACGUGCUGGACUAUGUCAGUUCUUUCAGAGAACGUCUUCAUCAUGCCUGUGAGGUAGCGAAAGAAUCACUGUCUGGCUCCCAAUCUAAAAUGAAGGCUCACUUUGAUAAGAGUGCUAUUAGAGUUAGACGCAGUUUUAAACCUGAAGAUCCUGUGCUGGUUUUUCUUCCUAUUCCUGCUUCAGUGCUUCAGGCCAAGUUUACUGGCCCUUAUGUAAUUGAAAAGAAACUGAGUGAAACAGAUUAUGUUAUCCGUACUCCUGAUAGGAGACGAAAAACUCGUGUAUGUCAUGUGAACAUGCUCAAGCCCUACUGUGCCCGGCUCAGUGAACCUACCCAUUCCCCUCCAGCUAAGGUGUUGCCUGUAGCUUUAACAGCAGUACUGCCAUGUUAUUCUCCUCAGGAUGAUGAUCUAGUGAUGCAAGAUGAUCCUGUUCUGUGUGCUCGGCUGUCAAACUCUCAAGUGUUGAGUGAUUUGGAGAAUUACUUGUGUCAUCUUUCUGGGACAGAUAAGAGUGACAUUCUCAAGUUAAUUGAAAGUAAUCACAUGCUGUUCUCAGAUGUACCGACCCAAACCACAGUGUUACAGCAUGACAUUGACGUUGGUGACUGCCCUCCUAUUAAGCAGCAUGCCUACCGUGUGAAUCCCACCAAAAGAGCUCAAAUGCAAAAAGAGGUUGAGUACUUGCAACAGCAUGACCUGGCUGUUCCCAGCUCCAGUGCCUGGAGCUCUCCAUGUUUAUUAGUGCCAAAGUCUGAUGGAACAUCACGCUUUUGUACUGAUUUCCGGAAACCUAAUGCUGUAACUAAACCAGACUCUUUUCCUCUUCCUCGCAUAGAAGAUUGCAUCGAUAGAGUUGGAGCUGCUCGCUACGUCACCAAGCUGGACCUGUUAAAGGGCUACUGGCAGGUACCUUUAACGCCACGUGCAUCUGAGAUUUCUGCAUUUGUGACACCAGAUAGUUUCAUGCAGUACACGGUCAUGGCAUUUGGUAUGCGCAAUGCCCCUGCCACCUUUCAGCGCCUUAUGCAAAUAGUGCUGUCUGGUGUGGCAAACUGUGAAGCCUAUCUUGAUGAUGUGGUGGUCUAUUCUGCUGACUGGCAAUCCCACGUGGAAACCUUGUCUGUUGUGUUUCAGUGCCUGCAGGAUGCAUCCCUCACCCUGAAUCUAGCAAAAUGUGAGUUUGCCAAGGCCACCAUCACUUAUCUUGGCAAGAAGGUUGGUCAGGGACAAGUGCGGCCAGUAGAUGCCAAAAUAACAGCUAUUGCUGAGUUCCCUGUUCCCACCACUAAGCGGGAACUGCGUCGCUUCCUUGGGCUAGCUGGUUAUUAUAGAGGGUUCUGCCGUAAUUUUGCUGCCAUUGUGUCUCCUUUGACUGAUCUCCUUAGCCCCACCAAGGAUCUAUUGCGGGACACCAAUUGUGAGCUGGCUUUUCAGUCCGUGAAAGCUUUUCUCAGCUCUUCUCCAGUGUUGUCGGCUCCUAAUUUUGCAGUUCCAUUUAAGUUGGAGGUUGAUGCAAGCGGAACUGGUGCUGGUGCUGUACUGCUGCAGGAGGAUUCCUCGGGUAUCGAUCACCCUGUUUGUUAUUUUUCUAAGAAGUUCUCUGCAGCCCAACGUAGGUAUAGCACUAUUGAAAAAGAGGCUUUAGCCAUGCUUUGGGCCCUCCAACAUUUUGAGGCUUACGUUGGCUCAACACCACAGCCGGUGUUGGUCUUUACUGAUCACAACCCUCUAGUCUUUCUAAGCCGUAUGUACAACCACAACCAACGGCUCAUGCGGUGGGCUCUUAUGGCCCAGAACUUUAAUAUAGAGAUUCGGCACAAGAAGGGGUGCGAUAAUGUUGUUGCUGAUGCCCUCUCUCGUGUAACCUAGGAGGUUGAUGCUGACAGCAGGGCUGUCAUCUUAAGGGAGGGGGUGUUACGUGCCAUUGUAUAUUUUGCUGUCCCUUGUAUGUGUGUCUGUCUGUGUUCUAGGUGCAGUUUCCUGAGAGAAGAUGCAGGGCACCUGCAUCAAGCUGUGGGUGUGGCCUAUAUAAGUGGCUCUUUUCUCCGCCCUCUCUCUCUCUCAUCUCCCUGGCACAGGAUCCCAGCCUUUGUUUGUGUUAACCAUCUUUUGUUAUAACAAUGUUAUUCCUGUUAACGUUUUGGUGGGGAACAAUGUGACACUGGACCCUGGAGUAAAACAGCUGCAGAAAGAACAUAAAGUCUUUUGGACACUGGGAGAGGACUGCAGUGGGA